RNAcentral lists this ribosomal RNA (468 nucleotides) under uncultured bacterium. Its description in RNAcentral is "partial 16S ribosomal RNA". It matches the Rfam family "Bacterial small subunit ribosomal RNA", at positions 28 to 507 of the family's 1533-position model. The record is from RNAcentral.
GACGAACGCUGGCGGAGGGCGUAACACAUGCGAGUCGAACGGAAAGGCCCUGCUUUUGUGGGGUGCUCGAGUGGCGAACGGGUGAGUAACACGUGAGUAACCUGCCCUUGACUUUGGGAUAACUUCAGGAAACUGGGGCUAAUACCGGAUAGGAGCUCCUGCUGCAUGGUGGGGGUUGGAAAGUUUCGGCGGUUGGGGAUGGACUCGCGGCUUAUCAGCUUGUUGGUGGGGUAGUGGCUUACCAAGGCUUUGACGGGUAGCCGGCCUGAGAGGGUGACCGGCCACAUUGGGACUGAGAUACGGCCCAGACUCCUACGGGAGGCAGCAGUGGGGAAUAUUGCACAAUGGGCGGAAGCCUGAUGCAGCAACGCCGCGUGCGGGAUGACGGCCUUCGGGUUGUAACCCGCUUUCGCCUGUGACGAAGCGUGAGUGACGGUAAUGGGUAAAGAAGCACCGGCUAACUACGUU